Molecule: ribosomal RNA, 896 nt
Filed under: Pestalotiopsis chamaeropis
Lineage: Eukaryota; Fungi; Ascomycota; Sordariomycetes; Amphisphaeriales; Sporocadaceae
Description: LSU rRNA
Rfam family: Eukaryotic large subunit ribosomal RNA
Source: RNAcentral
GCAUAUCAAUAAGCGGAGGAAAAGAAACCAACAGGGAUUGCCUUAGUAACGGCGAGUGAAGCGGCAACAGCUCAAAUUUGAAAUCUGGCCCUCGGGUCCGAAUUGUAAUUUGUAGAGGAUGAUUUUGGUGCGGUAUCUUCCGAGUUCCUUGGAACAGGACGCCUUAGAGGGUGAGAGCCCCGUACGGUUGAAUGCCUAGCCUCUGUAAAUCUCCUUCGACGAGUCGAGUAGUUUGGGAAUGCUGCUCUAAAUGGGAGGUAAAUUUCUUCUAAAGCUAAAUAUUGGCCAGAGACCGAUAGCGCACAAGUAGAGUGAUCGAAAGAUGAAAAGCACUUUGAAAAGAGGGUUAAAUAGCACGUGAAAUUGUUGAAAGGGAAGGAUUUGUGACCAGACUUUUUCUGGGCGGAUCAUCCGGGGUUCUCUCCGGUGCACUUUGCCCAGUAAAGGCCAGCAUCGAUUUUCGGCGGCGGAUAAAAGCAGUGGGAAUGUGGCUCCCUACGGGGAGUGUUAUAGCCCAUUGUAUAAUACGCUGCUGGGGAUCGAGGUACGCGCUUCUGCAAGGAUGCUGGCGUAAUGGUUAUCAAUCACCCGUCUUGAAACACGGACCAAGGAGUCGAACAUUUAUGCGAGUGUUUGGGUGUUAAACCCUCACGCGUAAUGAAAGUGAACGGAGGUGAGAGCCCGUACGGGUGCAUCAUCGACCGAUCCUGAAGUUUUCGGAUGGAUUUGAGUAAGAGCAUAACUGUUCGGACCCGAAAGAUGGUGAACUAUGCGUGGAUAGGGUGAAGCCAGAGGAAACUCUGGUGGAGGCUCGCAGCGGUUCUGACGUGCAAAUCGAUCGUCAAAUCUGCGCAUGGGGGCGAAAGACUAAUCGAACCAUCUAGUAGCUGGUUACC